Molecule: ribosomal RNA, 501 nt
Filed under: uncultured bacterium
Lineage: Bacteria
Description: partial 16S ribosomal RNA
Rfam family: Bacterial small subunit ribosomal RNA
Source: RNAcentral
AUUGAACGCUGGCGGCAGGCUUAACACAUGCAGGUCGAGCGGAGAUGAGGUGCUUGCACCUUAUCUUAGCGGCGGACGGGUGAGUAAUGCUUAGGAAUCUGCCUAUUAGUGGGGGACAACAUUCCGAAAGGAAUGCUAAUACCGCAUACGUCCUACGGGAGAAAGCAGGGGAUCUUCGGACCUUGCGCUAAUAGAUGAGCCUAAGUCGGAUUAGCUAGUUGGUGGGGUAAAGGCCUACCAAGGCGACGAUCUGUAGCGGGUCUGAGAGGAUGAUCCGCCACACUGGGACUGAGACACGGCCCAGACCCCUACGGGAGGCAGCAGUGGGGAAUAUUGGACAAUGGGGGAAACCCUGAUCCAGCCAUGCCGCGUGUGUGAAGAAGGCCUUAUGGUUGUAAAGCACUUUAAGCGAGGAGGAGGCUACUGAGACUAAUACUCUUGGAUAGUGGACGUUACUCGCAGAAUAAGCACCGGCUAACUCUGUGCCAGCCGCCGCCGUAA